This 498-nucleotide ribosomal RNA is filed under the name Aureobasidium pullulans. RNAcentral describes it as "eukaryotic LSU rRNA". The stretch from base 133 to 286 matches the Rfam family "5.8S ribosomal RNA". The record is from RNAcentral. Lineage: Eukaryota; Fungi; Ascomycota; Dothideomycetes; Dothideales; Saccotheciaceae.
CUACCUUGUUGCUUUGGCGGGACCGCUCGGUCUCGAGCCGCUGGGGAUUCGUCCCAGGCGAGCGCCCGCCAGAGUUAAACCAAACUCUUGUUAUUUAACCGGUCGUCUGAGUUAAAAUUUUGAAUAAAUCAAAACUUUCAACAACGGAUCUCUUGGUUCUCGCAUCGAUGAAGAACGCAUCGAAAUGCGAUAAGUAAUGUGAAUUGCAGAAUUCAGUGAAUCAUCAAAUCUUUGAACGCACAUUGCGCCCCUUGGUAUUCCGAGGGGCAUGCCUGUUCGAGCGUCCUUACACCACUCGGCUAUGCUUGGUAUUGGGCGACAUCCUUAGUUGGGCGCGCCUUAAAGACCUCGGCGAGGCCACUCCGGCUUUAGGCGUAGUAGAAUUUAUUCGAACGUCUGUCAAAGGAGAGGAACUCUGCCGACUGAAACCUUUAUUUUUCUAGGUUGACCUCUGAUCAGGUAGGGAUACCCGCUGAACUUAAGCAUAUCAAUAAGCGG